CGUCUCCUGCGGUGUUCGAUACUGACCUGGAAACCCCUCGACCCUAAAUCUCUACCUCGGGGCCGCGUACUGUCGGUAGCAUGUGUGCAUGACCACCUCGGUGGAAAGCCUUUUGUUAUCACGGCUGGCCCCACCUUGUUGCUCCGGUUCGAGAGCGACGGAAGGUAACGGCACAGGCGGGAGACGU
This 187-nucleotide non-coding RNA is filed under the name Woeseia sp. Its description in RNAcentral is "6S RNA". It matches the Rfam family "6S / SsrS RNA". From Rfam's summary of the family: E. coli 6S RNA was the first non coding RNA to be sequenced, but its function was unknown until recently. It consists of 184 nucleotides that fold into an extended hairpin structure with a large single-stranded internal bulge. The 6S RNA specifically associates with RNA polymerase holoenzyme containing the sigma70 specificity factor. The record is from RNAcentral. RNAcentral also lists the same sequence under 2 other names. Lineage: Bacteria; Pseudomonadati; Pseudomonadota; Gammaproteobacteria; Woeseiales; Woeseiaceae.